CAGGGGCAGCAACAUAACAACUGGUUGUCGGAAUUGUCUGAAAAUUUCAGGGCAGAUAUAUCUAAAUCUUAUAAACAUUUUUGCCACCAUUCAGAUUUGCUCAAUGCUUCAGUUUCAAGAUUGUAAAAAACUGCAUUUUACCCAAUGUACUACUUUUAGCCAUGUCUGCCAUCUUCGUUCGCAGGCAGGGUCAUCAGACACAUUUUUUAAACCAGAUACUCUUAUGAUGAUUGUGGACAUUUUGUCUUAAUAGUUUCAGAGGAGAAGAUUUUUGUAAAAGAUUACAAAAAUUUAAGAAAAAUUGGUAAAAUUUACUAAAAAGGGCAAUAACUCAUGAAGGGGUCAACUGACCUAUUUGGUCAUUUGACUUAUUUGUAGAUCUUACUUUGCUGAACAUUAUUGCUGUUUACAGUUUAUCUUUAUCUAUAAUAAUAUUCAAGAUAAUAACCAAAAGCUGCAAAAUUUCCUUAAAAUUACCAAUUAAGGGUUAGCAACCCAACAACACGUUUUCAGAUUCAUCUGAAAAUUUC
Molecule: long non-coding RNA, 530 nt
Filed under: Mytilus galloprovincialis (Mediterranean mussel)
Lineage: Eukaryota; Metazoa; Mollusca; Bivalvia; Mytilida; Mytilidae
Source: RNAcentral